UACAGAGGUCUCAAGCGUUGUUCGGAUUCAUUGGGCGUAAAGGGUGCGUAGGCGGCGCGGUAAGUCGGGUGUGAAAUCUCGGAGCUUAACUCCGAAACUGCAUUCGAUACUGCCGUGCUUGAGGACUGGAGAGGAGACUGGAAUUUACGGUGUAGCGGUGAAAUUCGUAGAUAUUGGGAAGAACACCGGUGGCGAAGGCGGGACUCUGGGCCGAUACUGACGCUGAGGAGCGAAAGCGUGGGGAGCAAACAGG
Molecule: ribosomal RNA, 253 nt
Filed under: uncultured bacterium
Lineage: Bacteria
Description: partial 16S ribosomal RNA
Rfam family: Bacterial small subunit ribosomal RNA
Source: RNAcentral